UGAGGAAUAUUGGUCAAUGGGCGUGAGCCUGAACCAGCCAAGUAGCGUGCAGGAAGACGGCCCUAUGGGUUGUAAACUGCUUUUAUGCGGGGAUAAAGGAGUCCACGUGUGGAUUUUUGCAGGUACCGCAUGAAUAAGGACCGGCUAAUUCCGUGCCAGCAGCUGCGGUAAUACGGAAGGUCCGGGCGUUAUCCGGAUUUAUUGGGUUUAAAGGGAGCGUAGGCCGCGUUUUAAGCGUGUUGUGAAAUGUAGACGCCCAACGUCUGCAUCGCAGCGCGAACUGGGACGCUUGAGUACGCGCAACGUUGGCGGAAUUCGUCGUGUAGCGGUGAAAUGCUUAGAUAUGACGAGGAACUCCGAUUGCGAAGGCAGCUGACGGGAGCGGCACUGACGCUUAAGCUCGAAGGUGCGGGUAUCAAACAGG
Molecule: ribosomal RNA, 424 nt
Filed under: Verrucomicrobiota bacterium
Lineage: Bacteria; Pseudomonadati; Verrucomicrobiota
Description: Verrucomicrobia bacterium partial 16S ribosomal RNA
Rfam family: Bacterial small subunit ribosomal RNA
Source: RNAcentral